UUGAACGCUGGCGGCAGGCCUAACACAUGCAAGUCGAGCGGAUGAAGGGAGCUUGCUCCUGGAUUCAGCGGCGGACGGGUGAGUAAUGCCUAGGAAUCUGCCUGGUAGUGGGGGAUAACGUCCGGAAACGGGCGCUAAUACCGCAUACGUCCUGAGGGAGAAAGUGGGGGAUCUUCGGACCUCACGCUAUCAGAUGAGCCUAGGUCGGAUUAGCUAGUUGGUGGGGUAAAGGCCUACCAAGGCGACGAUCCGUAACUGGUCUGAGAGGAUGAUCAGUCACACUGGAACUGAGACACGGUCCAGACUCCUACGGGAGGCAGCAGUGGGGAAUAUUGGACAAUGGGCGAAAGCCUGAUCCAGCCAUGCCGCGUGUGUGAAGAAGGUCUUCGGAUUGUAAAGCACUUUAAGUUGGGAGGAAGGGCAGUAAGUUAAUACCUUGCUGUUUUGAUGUUACCAACAGAAUAAGCACCGGCUAACUUCGUG
RNAcentral lists this ribosomal RNA (483 nucleotides) under uncultured bacterium. Its description in RNAcentral is "partial 16S ribosomal RNA". It matches the Rfam family "Bacterial small subunit ribosomal RNA", at positions 30 to 507 of the family's 1533-position model. The record is from RNAcentral.